GAUGAACGCUGGCGGCGUGCUUAACGCAUGCAAGUCGAACGGUGAAGCAGAGCUUGCUCUGUGGAUCAGUGGCGAACGGGUGAGUAACACGUGAGCAACCUGCCCCGGACUCUGGGAUAAGCGCUGGAAACGGCGUCUAAUACCGGAUAUGAGCUGCGAUCGCAUGGUCAGCAGUUGGAAAGAUUUUUCGGUCUGGGAUGGGCUCACGGCCUAUCAGCUUGUUGGUGAGGUAAUGGCUCACCAAGGCGUCGACGGGUAGCCGGCCUGAGAGGGUGACCGGCCACACUGGGACUGAGACACGGCCCAGACUCCAACGGGAGGAAGGAGUGGGGAAUAUUGCACAAUGGGCGGAAGCCUGAUGCAGCAACGCCGCGUGAGGGAUGACGGCCUUCGGGCUGUAAACCUCUUUUAGCAGGGAGGAAGCGAAAGUGACGGUACCUGCAGAAAAAGCGCCGGCUAACUACGUGCCAGCCGCCGCCGUAA
This 483-nucleotide ribosomal RNA is filed under the name uncultured bacterium. RNAcentral's name for it is "partial 16S ribosomal RNA". It matches the Rfam family "Bacterial small subunit ribosomal RNA", at positions 28 to 523 of the family's 1533-position model. The record is from RNAcentral.